GCAGUCGACGGUACAGGCCGCAAGGUGCUGACGAGUGGCGAACGGGUGAGUAAUGCAUCGGAACGUGCCCAGUCGUGGGGGAUAACUGCUCGAAAGAGCUGCUAAUACCGCAUACGAUCUAUGGAUGAAAGCGGGGGACCGUAAGGCCUCGCGCGAUUGGAGCGGCCGAUGUCAGAUUAGGUAGUUGGUGGGGUAAAGGCCCACCAAGCCAACGAUCUGUAGCUGGUCUGAGAGGACGACCAGCCACACUGGGACUGAGACACGGCCCAGACUCCUACGGGAGGCAGCAGUGGGGAAUUUUGGACAAUGGGCGCAAGCCUGAUCCAGCAAUGCCGCGUGCAGGAAGAAGGCCUUCGGGUUGUAAACUGCUUUUGUACGGAACGAAACGGUCUGGGUUAAUACCCCGGGCUAAUGACGGUACCGUAAGAAUAAGCACCGGCUAACUACGUGCCAGCAGCCGCGGUAAUACGUAGGGUGCGAGCGUUAAUCGGAAUUACUGGGCGUAAAGCGUGCGCAGGCGGUCUUGUAAGACAGUCGUGAAAUCCCCGGGCUCAACCUGGGAAUUGCGAUUGUGACUGCAAGGCUGGAGUGCGGCAGAGGGGGAUGGAAUUCCGCGU
RNAcentral lists this ribosomal RNA (617 nucleotides) under bacterium SL2.32. RNAcentral describes it as "bacterial SSU rRNA". It matches the Rfam family "Bacterial small subunit ribosomal RNA", at positions 57 to 674 of the family's 1533-position model. The record is from RNAcentral.